CCUACGGGAGGCAGCAGUGAGGAAUAUUGGUCAAUGGCCGGGAGGCUGAACCAGCCAAGUCGCGUGAGGGAAGACGGCCCUACGGGUUGUAAACCUCUUUUGUCAGGGAGCAAGGUGCAGGUCGGGACCUGCUGUGAGAGUACCUGAAGAAAAAGCAUCGGCUAACUCCGUGCCAGCAGCCGCGGUAAUACGGAGGAUGCGAGCGUUAUCCGGAUUUAUUGGGUUUAAAGGGUGCGAAGGGGGUGGCACAAGUCAGCGGUAAAAUGGGGGGGCACAACCCAGAUCGGCCGUUGAAACGGUGUCCUUGAGUGCGCGAAGGGUAGGCGGAAUGCGUGGUGUAGCGGUGAAAUGCAUAGAUAUCACGAAGAACUCCGAUCGCGAAGGCAGCCUACCGGCGCGCAACUGACGCUCAUGCACGAAAGCGUGGGUAUCGAACAGGAUUAGAUACCCCGGUAGUC
Molecule: ribosomal RNA, 458 nt
Filed under: uncultured bacterium
Lineage: Bacteria
Description: partial 16S ribosomal RNA
Rfam family: Bacterial small subunit ribosomal RNA
Source: RNAcentral